Molecule: long non-coding RNA, 488 nt
Filed under: Manacus vitellinus (golden-collared manakin)
Lineage: Eukaryota; Metazoa; Chordata; Aves; Passeriformes; Pipridae
Description: lncRNA (ENSMVIG00005014942.1)
Source: RNAcentral
AGACAGUGACUUAAACAUUCUUCUCCCCUAAUCAAGCUUAAGAUUAAAAGCCCUGAGCAGCAGAGGCGUGUGGACUGGCUGCCUGAGAGGUACACCUGGCUUUUGGAGGUAGAAAGGUUUGCUCACAGAGAUGGCUUUGGCUUAGAAAUCACCCAACAGAGUGGAGACUGCUUCCCUUCUGGAAACACGUGCUGCAAAGCACCCACCAGAUGGUGCUGGUGAUACCUAAAAAAGUGUGAGUGGGCAGCGAGGAGCCGAAUUUUGGGGUGUGAGGAGCAGUUCCCGUGGGUCCCACUGGAUGGAUGCGGCGCCGUGCACUUCGGACUUCACGUGCCUACCAACAAGAGCCUGUUGCUUCCUCUCCCUCGGGGAUGAUGGAGCACAGUAGGAAGACUCAUUUCUGCUGCUCAGACAUUCCUUGUUUCCCCAAGCAGGGAACAGGUUUUUGUCACCAAUCGCUACUGCUGCAGUGCUUGGAGGAUAUGUAG